CCCACGUCCUCCUUCACACCAGGAGAUAACCCUCAGUGUCGUUGUCGAUUAUGGGGGUUAUUGAUGACGCGUUGGUUUGUUUUCUUGGUGGCCGUCAUCCUGGGGCAUCGUCUCUUUUGUCUUCAAGUUCCGGUGGCUUCAAGCGGCCAACUUUCACAGGUGAUCGCCAGCUUAGUUACAUCGCUACGUUUUUUUCUUCCAUCAGCCUUGGGAAGAUGAGGAUGCUGGAUGUACCAGAGAUGAAUAACAUCAACUUUUAAACCU
This is a long non-coding RNA of Helianthus annuus (common sunflower), 264 nucleotides long. RefSeq lists it as uncharacterized. The record is from RefSeq and is a predicted model, not a curated record. The transcript has 2 exons. Lineage: Eukaryota; Viridiplantae; Streptophyta; Magnoliopsida; Asterales; Asteraceae.